ACACUCUAAGAUAAUCCGGACGCAGAAAGGAUAGCAAGACUGGAUACCGAUACUCCCCUCUGAUGGGGAACUUUCAUGCUUGGCGACCAUAUUUUGGCUUUUCUUCUAUCUCGGCAAUGGCUGCAAUGGCCUUCAGUGCCAGAUCAAGUUCCUCAUCUUCACAAAUCAUUCCGACUAUGCAAACCGAAACAAACAGAUGCGAAAGUAGCACGUAAGAUGCAUCAGGAUGGUCUUUUUAAUUUGGGUACACCUAUCCUAGACGGACUCAACCCCUAUGUUGAGUCCCCAAUGUCAAUUGCAUGUGAUGCAAAUAAGCGUUCCUACUAGGGAUCCGGCAUAAGGCUAUGUUAUUCUAGGUUUAAAAACCUGGUGUAUUUGUUCUAGACCUGGCUUACCCGAGCAGACAGCUCGAGCCGAUGGGGGGCAGCAUACUGGUAAUACAGAAGUUUCACCGGCUUUGCACCUUGUCCGAACCUCGUUCUAAAAUUGGGAUAUGACUCUAACAGAAAAUAAGUUACAUGAAGUGUACACUUCCCAGAUGAUUUAGAAGACUCAGAGAGAAGAGGAUUUCGUAACAGUUUAUAUACAAUUCAAACAAUAUCAAAGCGGUAAAAAGCGGCAUUUAGUACAUUAGGCCCAAACAUAUAAAAAUCAGAUAAUAAAUAAAGCCAAGUAUAACAGUCAUUCUAAGUUCGAAUUCUUGAACCCUAAACCAAAUGUUCUGGGUUAUGGUCCUCAGCAGAGUCGCCAGAGCUGUCACACUUCCUUUUGACCACCCGAGGGGGAUAUAAGGGAGUUUUUCUAAUUAAAGUGACAUUAAUCAAAAUGGUAUUAUUUUAUUAAAUUUAUCAGAUUCGCCACUUGGGAUAAUUAUUUGGUGUCCCAAGUCAUCGGUUUAUUUUGAAAUCCCAAAUCGAGGAAAUUUUGACUUUAUUUUUAAAAAGUCUGCGAACCAGAAAUUCUAAGUAAGGAAUUCUGUUAACCCGGGAGAAGGUGUUAAGCAUUUUCGGGUUCCGUGAUUCUAGCACGGUCGCUUAAACUAUUAAUAUUGCCCUAUUAUCUAAUUUGCUACAUAUUUUAAACAUAAUAUGCAUUUUUAAUUUUAUAGCCGCUUUUAAUUACUUUAAACUGCUUUUAGGAUUUAUGGAAUUGUUUCUUAAACAAGUUACGAUUGUCGUACACUUGCCGUUUUGGAACAUACCACAAAUUACGCUACAUGAAAUGUACCUGCGAUUCGCGAUACGUUUAUUUUUAUUAAUAUUUAAAGUUGUUAUGAUCGGGUUACAUGAAAUGCACCCCCGAAUUUUGGAACUAGGCAUCGUAACUAUGUCACGGGAACCGUACCCAUAGUCACGAUGGUAUAUUAAUCGCGCCUAAAGCAACUAGCGCGUGUAAAAAAAGGUUGUUUUUCUAUACUAAGUUAAUAUUAAUGCGAGGGCCAUAGCUUAUGGAUUUUAUUUGUGUAUGGUACACCUCAAAUUAUUUUAAGAAAAGGUUUAUAUAUUUUUUCUUCUAAGGAAAACUAAAGAUGCUCCUACUUUAAUCUAAUUUUGCAUCACAACCAUGUCACGGAACCGUACCCGUAGUUGUAAUAAUUUACAAAAAAAAAUGCCAAGUUCGCAAGGUUUCUCUCCAAAAAUUUCAACUACUGCCUACUUUCCAUUUUAGUGCAUUUCAAACUGUUAACCACUGUCGUAAAUAUAGCAAGUUUUUAUUCCUCCAAUAUUCAAACUAAUAUAAAAUAGUACUCUUUCCAUUGGAUCAACUUUGAGUUGACACCUCUAUACCUUUAUGCUCCUUGAUAAUCAACCAAAGUAAAAAUCGAAAUGAGAUAAAUUUGACUCAAAUCUUUUCCUUUGGUUUGUUCCUUUGGAUUCACAGACCCCGACAUCAGAUAUAGAAGCAGAGGUUCCUUUCUUCUAAGAGUAGAAACAAAAUGAAAGCUCCACUGCUCUCUUUUUCUUUUCACUUCAUUUGUUUUAUUUGUUGGAGGAUUUUGUUGAAAGUGUAUUAUAACAUAAAGAAAUACAGAUGAUUUAGUGGAGCAAGUGAAGCAUCUAUUUUCAAAUGAAUCUGACGGACACGACCAUGUGGUUCGCCAUUUUAUUGAUAUUCUGAAAUUGUGGAUUACACAAAAAAAACACAAACAUGCAUAUGUAUAUUUUGCUAGUAAUUUGCUUAGUAAGUUCACAGAGAUUCAAUUCAAGCUACUGAGAUCAGAAACAAGGUUAUAGCAGUGUAAUUAAUUACUCCUCAUGUCAUUAUAAAAUGAUUUCCACAACCGGCAACUUCUACAAUAACGUAGGAGGGAGCUGAUUGACUCAAUGACUUCAGUGAUGUUUAAAAUCUUUCAUUCAGGACCUUCAACACAAGUAGAUCUAGAUUAAAUUCGAACCACCAUCAUAGAUUCAUAAAUAAAAAAAAAUUAGACUUUCCUAAAUUAUUCAAAUCCAUCAAGACCCUAUUCAAACAACUCAAAAUCUUAGUGGAGAACAAUAUAUUCAGCAUUAAACAUCGAUUAAGAAUAAGAGAAAAAGCAACAGAACUUGAAGCUUAGGAAAACAUCUCUUAAUCAGUAUGAGACUUAGCAGGUAUACAACAAAGUUUCAUCCAUAAUUCAGAAUAAGAGAAUAAGUUAGGAUUUACAUACCUAAAGCAAAGAAAUAUAAGGCAAUGACCAAAUAAAGGUUAAGUUUGAGGGCAAAUGGAGCUUGAUUAAAUAGGAGCAACCAAGCAGUAAUCAGCAGCCUCAUGAGUUCAAAUCCAGCAGCUUCUAAACCCGGAAAAUUGUUCCCCAACUCUUGCCUUUAGAUCCUUUUCUAAGUUUUUUUUCCGUCUCCCUUUUUGUGUGUGCUUGUGUAUGUUCAUGAAUGGGAAAGGUGAGAAGAGGAGAGUGGGGGGGGGGGGGGGGGGGGN
Molecule: long non-coding RNA, 2916 nt
Filed under: Nicotiana tabacum (common tobacco)
Lineage: Eukaryota; Viridiplantae; Streptophyta; Magnoliopsida; Solanales; Solanaceae
Description: long non-coding RNA (NTAB_LNC004305)
Source: RNAcentral